AGGAAAUAAGAACGAAAGGGUGGCAGAGUUCAUGGACAGUAACUCUCCCUUUGAGCUGGAGACCUCUCUCCAGACUUGUUUAUUAUAGUUUUGUACUGAUUCAACUGCAGGUUUAGCAGCAAAAUGAAAAGCUGUCUUGUUUAAAGGAAGAUGUAACUCAUUUUGUGAACAAGAACUGCAAACAGCUGCUUCCAUAUGUUGCUACUAUCUGGAUAAAUUCUUUGUUAAAUGGCAUCUUUAAGAUUAAACUCUGUGCUGAAAAUAAACACAACAAAAGUGUGAGAUGAUUGAGGAGAACAGUGACCCACUCCAGGAGAAAAUACACUUUGUUUCAGCUGAUGAUGAAUCUGUAUGACCCAGACAGCACGUUCUAAUUUUGACUAUCAUUGCAUUCUGCACUAUUUUGACAUAUAAUAUAAAUGUCUGUGAUAAGGGGUAAAAGGCACUUUGGCCCAUCUGUGCUAGUUCUAAACCUGUUUGUCCUACUUUACUUUGGGAUGAUCUAGCCUUUUUUUUUUUUUUUUUUUUUUUUUUUUUUUAAAUUGAAUUUUUAACAUAGUUUGGACCUACUUCUUUGUUCUGCAGUAUCUCUGUUAGAAAAUGUUUUAAGUACAACCCUCUGUUAGCCAGAUUGAAACACGGUUUGGAAAAGUGUCGGGGUGUUCUCUUUGAAGUUGAAGGGAGAUGCAUCUGCCUUGAAUGAGAUCAAGAUCAAAUCACCUGAGCAAAUGGCUAACUAUUUAAAUAGUCCCUUGGAAGUUCAGUGUGGUUUGAAGCCUUCUGUAGAGGAGAAAGACUUCAUGCUUCAGUUUCAGCAAUGAAGCACUGUCCCUUCGUAACAUUAAUUGAAGAAGGUGUGGGAAGGCAAUGGAAGAGGAGCCCAGAAAACAAUUUGUUUAUUAUAAGCAGGUCAGUCCUCCGGGGAAUUCAUGGAAUCAUGCAGUGGGAGAGGACAAUCACGGCACUGAAAUGGUGGGUAAUUUUAUUUGUUCCACUUGAUGGUCACAGUGGCAUCAUGCUGGCCAAUUACUCUUGAGUCAGCAGGUUUCAGAGGUUAAGACCCCCUUGUGGGUUGCAGCACUGCAGGCAAAGCAUUCAGGCCAGAUUGAAACCGUUUCAACAGCAGAGACGCCAGCCUUCUUCUCCCUUGGAGAUCUCCUUUUUCAACUGUGUACGAGACACACAUGUGAUAAAAUAGGCAUGUCUCUAACAUCGAGACGGCUU
This 1224-nucleotide long non-coding RNA is filed under the name Coturnix japonica (Japanese quail). RNAcentral describes it as "lncRNA (ENSCJPG00005010365.1)". The record is from RNAcentral. Lineage: Eukaryota; Metazoa; Chordata; Aves; Galliformes; Phasianidae.